ACACUGGGCGCAGCCUGAUCCAGCAAUGCCGCGUGUGUGAAGAAGGCCUGCGGGUUGUAAAGCACUUUCAGUAGAGAAGAAAAGCCUAGGGUUAAUACCCCUGAGUCUGGACGUAACCUACAGAAGAAGCACCGGCUAACUCCGUGCCAGCAGCCGCGGUAAUACGGAGAGUGCGAGCGUUAUUCGGAAUUACUGGGCGUAAAGCGCGCGUAGGCGGCUUGGUAAGUCGGAUGUGAAAGCCCCGGGCUUAACCUGGGAAUUGCAUUCGAUACUGCUUGACUUGAGUAUGGUAGAGGGAAGUGGAAUUUCCGGUGUAGCGGUGAAAUGCGUAAAUAUCGGGAGGAACACCAGUGGCGAAGGCGACUUCCUGGACCAAUACUGACGCUGAGGAGCGAAAGCCCGGGGAGCAAACAGGAUUAUUUGGUCUGGUAAUCCACGCCGUAAACGAAGACAACUAGAUGUCGGUUUGAUUGAGCCUUCCCGGCCCCCACUAAACGGGUUAAUUUCCCCGCCGGGGGAGUACUUUGGAACGGUUAAAAUUCAAGGGAUUUGAG
Molecule: ribosomal RNA, 554 nt
Filed under: uncultured bacterium
Lineage: Bacteria
Description: bacterial SSU rRNA
Rfam family: Bacterial small subunit ribosomal RNA
Source: RNAcentral